CCCUUAGAUGUCCUGGGCCGCACGCGCGCUACACUGAGUGUCUGAGAUACGAGUCUGCCUGGUCCGGCAAGGUCUAGGUAAUCGCUAAAAGACACAUCAUGCUUGGGAUAGAUUAUUGCAAAUAUUAAUCUUGAACGAGGAAUUCCUAGUAAGCGCAAGUCAACAGCUUGCGUUGAUUACGUCCCUGCCCUUUGUACACACCGCCCGUCGCUACUACUGAUUGGAUGUUUAAGCGAGGUUCUCGAACUGCUAGCGACUUAGCUUCGGUGAGGUCGCAGUGUGGGAAGUGAACCUAGCUUUGGUGUCUUGAGGAAGUAAAAGUCGUAACA
This 329-nucleotide ribosomal RNA is filed under the name uncultured eukaryote. Its description in RNAcentral is "partial 18S ribosomal RNA". It matches the Rfam family "Eukaryotic small subunit ribosomal RNA", at positions 1470 to 1796 of the family's 1831-position model. The record is from RNAcentral.